CAUUUACAAGGCUUCCUGCUGUGCCUCCUGUCCAGCUGCCCUGCCUGUCUCUGUGUGCGACUCUUCAGCUUUAUUUUGCAGGAAGGAAUUGGGAAAAUAAAAAAAAUCCACUAACAAGCUUUGAGAUGCUUUACCUCAUAAAAUCCCACUUGGGAUAUAAUGGUUUUUGAGGAAAAGAGGGAGCUUCACAUAAUGGGAUUAAGGAAAUUCCCAUCUGCUUAGAGCCUCCUUUUCUCUGCCUCUUGUUGAUAGGGAAAGGAGUUUAAUCACUGUAAUUGCAUUGUAGGAUGAUGGCUAUUGUCUCAGUGUGCAAGGCUAGCUUUAUUGCCUUUUGGCUACAAGGGGCUGAACUGUGUGGAGGAAGCCAGUGGCACCCAGGAGUUUUUACCAUGACCAAUCUCUCACCAAGACAGAGGAUAUUUAUUGUGAUCCUUAGCUGCACUUUGGAUCUGCAUGACAGGAUCAUUCACCCUCAAACCUAUUUUAUUAGUGGAACAAGGUGGAGAUACUGCAAUCCAUGUUCUUUCUGAGAUUAUUAUGAUAUGUUUCUGAGAGUUAGACAUCUUUACCUUUUUUCCUCCCCACCUUCAAGUUUAUCAGCCAUUACAGCUUUGUUUCCAUGAAAUAUUUAGAAGGCUAUUAAAGGAGUGCAAUUACACUGUUUUCAGACUGAGAACUACAUGAUCGCUAUGCCAUUACUGGGCUUGCCUGGAGAAGAGAAGGCUAUGGGUUGACCUCAUUGCAGCCUUCCAGUACCUAAAAGGAGCCUAUAAGCAGGAAGGGAGUCAACUCUUUACAAGGGUAGAUAAUGGCAGGACAAGGGGAAAUGGUUUUAAAUUGAAGGAGGGAAGAUUUAGAUUGGAUAUCAGGGGAAAGUUCUUUACCAAGAGAGUGAUGAGGUGCUGGAACAGGCUGGCCAGAGAGGCUGUGAAUGCCCCGUCCCUAGAAAUGUUCAAGGCCAGGUUGGAUGGGGACCUGGGCAGCCUGGUUUGGUAUUACACAUGGAGAUUGGUGGCCCUACAUGUGGCACAGGGGUUGGAGCUUGAUGGUCCUUGAGGUCCCUUCCAACCCAGGCCAUUCUAUGAUUCAACAUAAGAAUUCUGCAGAUGUACUUUUAACAUGAUUUUUUUUUAGUAUCUUGCGCAAGCUCAGUUUAAAAAAAAUCCUAUCCAUAGUCGUUUCUAAAAUAGAACUUGCCAGAGAGAAAUCAUAGAUUUGUACAAUCAUGAAGGUUGGAAAAGACCACUAAGAUGAUCUAGUCCAACCCACUGCCAAAUGCUGUUAUAUUUUUAAGAACAGAUCAGUACUUAAUUAUCAUUUAAGCACAUUUGCUGUUGUUUAAGCACAUUUGCUGUUCAAAAGUAUCAUUGAAGUUUUCUGAGAAACUAAAGACAUUCUGUGCUGCAAGGAGCUUCUGAAAGGUUACACCAAAAGGAAAGGACUCAGCGUUCAUUAGCACACCUUAUUCCAGCCUGAGGCAAGCACAUAGCAGUCUGUGCACUUAGAUUUCCUACUUUCUGUUUUACUCUCCAAAAUCUUUCAGUUUUUUAUUUCCCUAGCAGACAUGUUUGGGCAGUCCCAUCUAAAUGGCAGUCUGUUCUCAGAGAGAUGGUAACCCCACGCCCCCAGACCCACAUGUGCCCUUGCCAGAGCAUCCCGCUCUGCUUUGAAGCACCUCCGCCAUGGAGACCUCCACACCCACUCAGCAUUCCUUCACUUAUGUACCUAUGUGUACAAAGAAAUCAGAAGUGUUAGCAUGCAUUUCAUUUUUAGUUCUUAAUUCAACUGAUGAAGAGCUUAAAGCAAAACAGUGCUUUUCUUGAGGAUGCCAGAAUUUUUCAAGUUGAACUUCUUGAAAUCUGGAUAAAUUUCUCUUCCACUUCACACAUUUUUAAUGGAAACUUUCAUCUUCUCAAAAGAAGCAUAAAAAUGCUCACAGAAACUAUUUUCAAUAGAGUGAGGUACUUUCCUCUAAAUAAGAAUUUUCAAUUUUUCCUAAAGAGUCAAAAACGCUUCCCUCAGCAAGGCCAAAGAAGCUGAAAUUAAUGCUCCUUGAUUUUGCCACAAGCCUUGUAAGAAGCCUCAGGGAUUUUUAUUAGGAGCUCUGGCACCUCAGCCGCAUCAUUUUUACGUAAAUGAAGCUCUUGUUAAAUGUUAAGCAAAGUUAAAUCAUACUCUGCAGAGACUGCUAAGCAGCUUGACUAAAAUUGCUCUUUCCUCUUGAUCACUUGAUUUUCUUAUGAAUUCACCACCUCUCUACCUCUCUCGUUGCCAUAGAGCUUGCACAGCUUAUUGAAAUGAGACAAAAAUUCCCAAGUAAAACAAAAAAUGCAGUGAAGUAGAAAAGUAACAUGGGCAGAAAAGGCACUAAGAGGCCUUCACCAGCACACCUGCUUGAGGGGCCGCAGAACUCCAAAGUUCAUCAAUACUAUGUGAAUCACUGCUGGAGACUGACAUUAGAAAUCCAUCUUCAUGCUGGCCUGGUUCCUCAUCUCCUACAUCACUAAAUUACAACUUAAAUCCAAAUAUCUCCCAAAUGUUUUGAUACAAGACCUAAAAAACCCCCAUUUCUCAGCUCCCUGAAGACUUCAUAGACCAUAUGCUUCUCAAAGGAGAAGUUAUGCUGUUUCACUUCUUUCUAAUGACUGUUGGCCAAUGGGAAAAUGUAUAACUGAACAACUUAGGUUAUGUCCGCUUGGAGAAGUUGAAGAUUUCAUUAGAUGCUGGACAACAAUAUUCACAUCCAAAGCACUCAAUUUCCAUGCUGCAUCAGGCUUAGUCUCAGUCUCCCCAGAACACAGUGAAAAGAUGUGACAGUAGCUUUCUGUGUAGAAAUAUAUUUGGCAAAUAUAUAAACCCUGCAGAGCAUCCCUUGAGAGGCUAAAGGAAUUUAAACUUAAGUCCCAUGCAGAUCUCCUCUAAGGUGUUAUUUUCCCCCCUAAAUACCAUGUUGAAAUUCUACUUUUACCAAGUUUAAAACUGGAAGAUACAUUAUGUUUGCAGAACUGGAAAUCUCAGUGAAUAAAUAAAUCUUGAGAAGCACAGCUACAGGGAAACAGGCACAGACCUUGCACCAUUCACAGCUUUAAAAAAAGUGUUGGAGCUUAGUAAAGCCAGCAUCACACACACAGCAAAUUAGAAGGAGGGCACGCUCUCCUCAUGAACUUGGGGAAAACCCACACAUUUCAAAAGCACAUAAUUCAGCUGUAAAAUGUUAACAACUGUUUUCCAGACUUCGCUUUGGUAUACAAAAUUCAGCCCAGAAACUCUUCCAUUUCACAAAGUAUGGUUCAAAUUAAGGGGAAAAAACAACCCUUUACAUAUCUUUGCAGUGUUUUUUUUUUUUUCUUUCCACAACACCAGAGUUCUGUCAAAGUGGGAAUCUUCAUAAAAACAACUAUUCAUAUUCUAUGGUUUAUUUAUGCAAAUUGGAUGGGCAAUGUUAAUUAAAUGAACACUUAGAUCUGUGUAGACCUUUUUACCAGUAGGUUUCAAGAAGAUAAAGUAUGAGAACCUUACUUUGGAACCAAAGAAAUGAAGAUCUGGAUAGGUUGGAUAGCUGGGCUGAAGCCAAUGGGAUGGGAUUCAACAAGACCAAAUGCCGGGUCCUGCACUUUGUCCACAAUAACCCCAGGCAACGCUACAGGCUUGGGGCAGAGUGGCUGGAAGACUGUGUAGAGGAAAUGGACCUGGGGGUGUUGAUUGACACUAGACUGAACAUGAGCCAGCAGUGUGCCCAGGUGGCCAAGAAGGCCAAUGGCAUCCUGGCUUGUAUCAGAAAUAGUGUGGCCAGCAGGAACAGGGAAGUAAUUAUCCCCCUGUACUCAGCACUGGUGAAGCCACACCUUGAGUACUGUGUCCAGUUUUGGGCCCCUCACUGUAAGAAAGACAUCGAGGCCCUGGAGCAUGUCCAGAGGAGGGCAACAAAGCUGGUGAGGGGUCUGGAGCACAGGCCUUAUGAAGAGCGGCUGAAGGAGCUGGGAUUGUUCAGUUUAGAGAAGAGGAGGCUCAGGGGAGACCUUAUUGCUCUCUAUAACUACCUGAAGGGAGUUUGUAGUGAGCUGGGGGUCGGCCUCUUCUCUCAGGUGACUAGUGAUAGGACUAGAGGGAAUGGCUUCAAGCUGCACCAGGGAAGAUUCAGGCUGGACGUUAGGAAAUACUACUUCUCUGAAAGGGUGGUCAGGCACUGGAAUGGGCUGCCCAGAGAGGUGGUGGAGUCACCGAACCUGGUGGUGUUCAAAGAGCGUUUGGAUGUUGUGUUGAGGGACAUGGUUUAGCGAGAACCAUUGGUGAUGGGCGAAUGGUUGGACUGGAUGAUCCUGUGGGUCUUUUCCAACCUUAGCGAUUCUAUGAUUCUAUAAGAAACAUUGUAAGUGACGUAUGAGCUGAUCUACCAGACUAGGAACCAAGCCAGGAGAAAGGCAAACGAAGGGAUGGAUGCAUGCAAUAAAAGCCUUCAAAUGAUGCCAGGCUGGAUUUUUUUCCUGUGACAGACAGUUAUUGUACAGUUAUGGUCUUCUAAUUAACCAGUUAAAGUACAGUUUCUGCAAUUGUCCUACAUAUGUAGGUACCUGGAUAUUAAGCCUAUAGUUUCAUGAAGUACAGAAAUUCAGUUCCCUCUGAUCCCCCUGAGAAGAAAACAGAGAACAAAACCAACCACCAUUUACCUUCCCCUGAACACCUCUGCUGGUAACAGCUUUGUAAAAUAUUCCUGUGCAAUAUCUACUGAGCAUUAGCAUUGUGCACUUCAUACAGUGAUGCAUCACUGUCCUUUGCUGCAAUUUUAGUUAAUUACCCCAUGAAAAACUUAAAAGAUUUAAGCUCAUAAAAAGUAGUAAAUAAUACAUAUCAGUAGUUUGAUUUCUUGCUACAACACAAAGUUGGAAGUUCAGCCUUCAGUAACCUCUGAGCUAUUCCUUAUCCCCACAGCUUCUGUGACAGUACUACAGGAACGUCUAUCUGUACACAGCAUACAAUAUUACCCUUUAUGAAGGCAGCACUGGAACGGAGAUAUAUAAUUAAUUACAUUCAAUUUAGCACCAUGGAUUUAAGGAUUUGCCUUCCAUUAGCAAACAGAGGAGGGAAACUUAGAAAGUAGAUAACAUCUAUUAUAGACAGAUCAUAUAAAUGACUAUUUCACACUUAUUUAAUCCUUCAAAAGCACUAUCAGAGAAAAUAGUUGUUUCUUAUAAGCAGAUGUACUGUUUGAAGGCACUCAGAGCAAUAUUCAGAUGCUGCUGUAUGGAGUGUGUGUUAAGGAAAGCCCAAAGCAGUUGGGACAGUCUGCUGUAAGCUGGCAGGGUGAGGGCAGAGGCUGCAGACACAGUGCAUGGAUGGAUGUGUGCAUGGCUGGGGAUAGAUGCAUGGCCACGCUGCCAAAGAGACCUGCCUUGUUCUUGGGCUGGGUGUAGAGACAACAACCCUGAUCUUCAGCGCAAUGGGCAUGCAGCAAGACUGAACAGAAAAGAAGAUACUGGGAGGAAAGUGAUGGCUUGAGACUUUUUUUCCCUGAAAAAUCAGAAAAAACCCCAACUCUGCUACAACCAAAAAUCCAGUCAUCCAAAACAUUUCAUCUGUGAAAAGAAUUCAAAUUCAAUUAUUGACUGCACAACAAAUUACUGCAUCUCAGUCAGAGGCCGUGCGUGGAAGCUGAAACACUGAGAACACAGCUAGAACGUAUUCCAAACGCAGCCUUCACCCAGGACUCUCUGAAGCACAGUCGACAUCAGAGACAGCAGAGCAGGAAAUAUGUUCUCAGAUGGAAAGGUCUGCUACAUUCCUCCAAGAAUUGCCCUCUAGAGCCGGAGCCUCUUUGUCUAACAGGUACAGCUGAGGCAGGUCCCUGUGCUUUGAAACACUGCUGUUAGAGAAGAAUCGAGGUAUGGCUUUUGGUUCAAGACUGAAUGGUUGGUACUGACAAAAUCUGGAGUAGGCAGCAGGACUCUGCUUUCACGUAUACAUUUGUUUCACAGCCUGAAGCUGGAAAAGCUUUAAUUUAAAUCUUACUGAUAAAAUAGAAAAAAAAGCUAUUGAUCUUAAUUUUUUUAGCAUGCAUGGUAUUUUUAUUAAUGAUUAAUAACCUUACUAUACUAUCACAAUAUAUCUGUAUAUGUAUUUUUCUUGUUAAAGUAUACAAUUUAGGUGUAAAACAUUUCAUUUGAUUCAUCUCCAACACUACUAACCUUUUCUUACUUAAAUCUGUAAUGCAAAUCUAUAAAAAUCACCAUCAGCUAUAACAGAUGAGUCCAUUGAAAGGCAGUGGCCCUAGGGAUGGCUCUGACCUCCUGAUCUUUCCAUCGCCACUGCUCACACAGCCAGGACUCCUUUGUCCAGAUCAAACCUUUCAGUAGCUGGCACUGAUGAUCAGAGCAAAGCAACUCUCCCACAUCUCUCUGGACAUGGCUUUUAUGCUCCUCUGCAUCUCCAUGAGACUAAACAACAAUCAGCAUUUGACUCUAAAACUCUUUUCAUGGCCAUCUUAUAGUUCAGACACGGUCCCCCCAGGAACCUGUAGCAUGGGGGUCAUAGAAAUCUCAUCCUGUUCCCCCUAGAUACAUUCACAUAUUUCCACAUCAGGUAGAAUACAUGUAGCAAAACCAAACUGGGCAUGCACAAUCACCUGUAGUUUCUUCAGGCAAGGCCACCUCAGAGAUGCAAGAAAAACAGUCUAGGAAAAGUUUUAGAGACCUUUUUCCUGCCAACAUACACAAACCUAGUUACUUUGUUCCAAGGGGCCAACUUCAUCAUGUACCAUACUGGUAGUUAAUUCGGCCUAAAUGCUUGCCAGUUUUUAAUACAGCUUCCCUAAAGUUCCUAUUAAUCUGGGGUGAAUAUAAAGUGCACUGCUUUCUCCCAGCUUGUUUCAUCCUCUGAUUACAUUCACAUAUUGUACGCAGCACAGCUGUGGACACUUCAGGAGCAGCCAUCCUGAAGAUGGAGAUUGACCAUCCAGUACAACCCACCCCAUCCCAACACUCUGAUUUUCUUUCUGUAGGGUUUCACCAUCGAUUGUAGCCUUCCCAAAUCUUAUCUAACACUAUCUCAUCUAGUCUGUGUUCCAAAAUUCGAUUUAUGCACCUGUAUUCAUUCAUUUUUCACUUGGCUUUGCUGUAAUGUCUAACAGCAGAGAUAGCAUUUGUACUUCUGAUAGCUCAAAAGUUUACACAUCAUUUGAAAGCCAUGCAUUUGCAGAUAGAUAAAAAUAGUCUUCGUGUUUUAAUUAAGUGUUUGCAGUGCAACAGUCAGCGUUGGCAAUGGCAACAGUCAGUUACAGCUAAUGAUACCUUUUGAUAAAGGCAUCAAAUUGUUUUACCCCCAAACCAACCUGUACUACUUUGAGUAAUUUCUGCUGGCACCUCUGGCUUAUGUGCUGCUGAUGGUCAGUUUUUAUCCUAUUGAUGUGUACUGUUAUGGUAAUUGGAGGCUAUUUUAGACUAUUUGUGUUUACCCUUAUUGCUAGUUAAUCCCCCCAGAAUUGUGAAGCAUCACUCACAGAUUUUCCAUGUUAGCUGUUAUUUUGCCACUUCUGCACAGAAACUUGCUUGAAACCACCUCAAAUCACAGAUUUGUUGGCCAAGUUCCUAUUACCCUCAGCAGCUCUGUAUUAGGACCUACGUGGCUCAAUUAAUCAGGUGGCUAACACCAAGCAAGUCUAAAGACAAGGAUGAAUGGAAAGCAUCCUGGGGGACAGCUGUGCAGGAAAAUUAAAGUCAAAAAGGAAAGUUGCAGCAGAGACCACAGUAGGACAGAGGAGGAGCUCCUGGCUGUGAGCUGUCUGCAGCUCCAGGAGCCCUGGCUUUUGGCACUUUGUGAAGAAUUGCAGCUGCUGAUGCUGUCAAUAGUCCAGAAAAAGUAGCAGCUGCAAGGGAAGGAGGGAGGACUGCUUGGGACUUCCUGACUGACCUCACACUUCUGUAGCCCAGAUCAUUUCUCCUUCUCCUGCCAUACUUCACCCAUAAAAACACUGAUUACUAUGAUUUCAUGCAGGUGGAGGAAAUUUCACUUUCACGGCUUCAGAGUUGUUUCAUUUUCAGAUCCUAAGGGUUUCCACAGCUUGGAGAGAUCACAGGAGUGAUUUUUUCAAGCGUGGGGCUUGGGGGCUCUCAGUGUUGGGACCUGCCUUUUUACUACUGCUGGAAAGGUCCAGAACUUGAGGGUUGAAAACUAUCAAGUGAACAUCAUACAACAAAAUACAAUUUUCACAGAAAAUGGUUUCUCUUUGUUAAAUUUCACAUCUACUCAUUGUAAAAGCAUCCCCAUAAAACAAACAAAAAAAAGUGUUCAUGUUAUUUUGUGUGAAAAGACAAAACACUUAUUAGAAGGCAUAACACUUUUUGAUUCUUGUCUUACAGAAUAAGCUACGAAUCCUCAACAUAUAAAGUGACUAUAAAGUAAAAACUAAUUUCUCAUGUAGUUAUUCUGUUCCUGAGACCUUUCUGGCUAUCUAAUAUAUUUCCAAAGGAACAUGUUGUUUUGAUAACUGAAUACUCAAUUAGAUAUUCCUCUAGCAAACCAAUUCAGAACUUCCUAUCACGAUCUUCUGUACAGCUACACAGAUAGGGCAUAUAAUUGGACAAAACUUUUCACAGCCACAAGAUUAAGUUUCUUCUUUAAUAAAUAAUUCUUUUUAUUAUUAAAACAUAUGUUAAAUGUAUAUUGUAGACAACUGUAUAGCCAUUUUGGAAGGCUUAUAGUAAGACCCUGUGAUGCUAUACUGAGAUGACA
RNAcentral lists this long non-coding RNA (8724 nucleotides) under Gallus gallus (chicken). Its description in RNAcentral is "lncRNA (ENSGALG00010005026.1)". The record is from RNAcentral. Lineage: Eukaryota; Metazoa; Chordata; Aves; Galliformes; Phasianidae.